This 351-nucleotide ribosomal RNA is filed under the name Triticum aestivum (bread wheat). RNAcentral's name for it is "partial small subunit ribosomal RNA". The record is from RNAcentral. Lineage: Eukaryota; Viridiplantae; Streptophyta; Magnoliopsida; Poales; Poaceae.
AUGGUCCUCGUCGUACUCGCCACCUUGUCCUAUGGCCUCCCCGCCGCCCGCAGCGACAUCGACUUCAUCGCCCGCACAUGCAAGAAGACCACUAACCCCGCGUUGUGUGUGGCUGUGCUAAGCGCCGACCCAAAGAGCAGCCACGCGUCCACCGAGCAUGACCUCGCCAGCGUCGCCCUGCAAAUCGCCACCAGCACCGCCAAGAAGAACGCUGCAGUCAUCUGUGACCUAGGCGCUUCAACGGUGGGCAAUAUGCCGAGACACUCAUCUCCGGUGGCCGACAUGGAUCGCGAGACGACGGAGCGGUGCGGCGUUGCGGGCGACCUCAUCGGCCUGCUCAUCACCAAGUGA